GACGAACGCUGGCGGCGCGCCUAACACAUGCAAGUCGAACGAGCGAGAGAGAGCUUGCUUUCUCGAGCGAGUGGCGAACGGGUGAGUAACGCGUGAGGAACCUGCCUCAAAGAGGGGGACAACAGUUGGAAACGACUGCUAAUACCGCAUAAGCCCACGACCCGGCAUCGGGUAGAGGGAAAAGGAGCAAUCCGCUUUGAGAUGGCCUCGCGUCCGAUUAGCUAGUUGGUGAGGUAACGGCCCACCAAGGCGACGAUCGGUAGCCGGACUGAGAGGUUGAACGGCCACAUUGGGACUGAGACACGGCCCAGACUCCUACGGGAGGCAGCAGUGGGGAAUAUUGCACAAUGGGGGAAACCCUGAUGCAGCGACGCCGCGUGGAGGAAGAAGGUCUUCGGAUUGUAAACUCCUGUUGUGGAGGAAGAUAAUGACGGUACUCAACAAGGAAGAGACGGCUAACUACGUG
This 466-nucleotide ribosomal RNA is filed under the name uncultured bacterium. RNAcentral's name for it is "partial 16S ribosomal RNA". It matches the Rfam family "Bacterial small subunit ribosomal RNA", at positions 28 to 507 of the family's 1533-position model. The record is from RNAcentral.